Molecule: ribosomal RNA, 108 nt
Filed under: Pogona vitticeps (central bearded dragon)
Lineage: Eukaryota; Metazoa; Chordata; Lepidosauria; Squamata; Agamidae
Source: RNAcentral
AUCACCACACUACUCUGAAUACACUCAGUCUCAUCUGAUUUUGAAAGUUAAGCAGAGUCAGGCCAGGUCAGUAUUCAGAUGGGAGACCAUCCUAUAACACCGGGGAUC